UUCACGAUUGUACCAUUUUUGUCAAUUUUGUUUUUUAUAGUAGGCCAAUAUAGUAGGAGAUUGGUUGGCAACACUAUCAAUCAAUUAUCAAUUAUAUGGGGACGCCACUGUUAGAAUGUUCUAAAGUUGUUUUAGGAGGUGGUCCCAGUAAGGAACCAAAAGAAGAUCCAAAUAUUGACAGAGUAAUUUCCCUCAUUAAAACUAAUGUAGAAGGUUUCAGCAAAAUCUAUGACUUAGACUCUCUAUUCAAACUUUAGACAACGACUCAACUGCUGAAAAUGGAAACUUUGAAUGAGCUCGAGAUAUGUCAAGAUGAGUAUAACUAUGCUUUGGAAUCUGAGGUUCCAAAUGUGAGGCUUUAACAACUACUAUCCUCAGAGAGGAUCACCCGAAGGGACACUCCAUCUUCUGCCUCCUUGGGCUGCCAACGACCCAGCUUUUCCAGGGACCACUAAGCCACCAUCGCCUACCACCAGGAAGGAUAAUGAUUAUGCCAACUUUAUUACCGCCAGGAAUAAACUAUAUUCAACAUUUAAAGAAAAUCAUUGGAGUCAUUUUCAAGAUCUUGGUACAAGCAAUUCCUAGAGGAACUAACUCCGAUGCAAGAGCUGGAGUUGGACUUGUCGUUCCAGAGUCAGAGUAGUUCUUUCGGAGUAGUUCGUUCCGGAGUUACUCACCUCUGAUCACAUCAUCAGUCCACUAGAAAACUCCAAACCAGAUGAUCUGGGUGUAAUUUCUAUACACUUUUUCAUCGAGUAUGAGGAACACUUCAAUUCUUACCUAGGCAGCAUAGAGAAGAUACAGCUCGUACAGGUUACCUGAGGUUUUGAUGGUGUACAGAGUCUAUGACAGACCUCAACAUCCUGUCGACUAACCAGAUUCAUCCGAAACUUUCGAGUCAGUGAGUUACUAUGGCUGAACGUUGGCUGAACAUCGUAGUUCUACUGAUAGAGAUUACUAAAUAGAUAAGUAUUACAAUCAUGUGAUGAAAAUUUUUAUAUUGAGUAGAUAUUAUUAGAAAUUUAUUGUUUUAAUCACGGAAUAUAUAUAGCCUACUGUCUGAUAUAGAUUAAUCCUUGAACUAAAAUAUAAAAUUAUAGUUGAGAUUGUUCAGGGUCAGGUGUUAACUACAGUAAACUUAUUUCAUGCCACUGUCAUUAUCACGAUUACAUGUCUUCUCUAUAUUUUGUUAUCAUCGGAGACAUUUAAAAGAAAAAAUAAACAAUAAAUAAACAAAUCAUAGCUACACAAAACAACAACAAAUGCACAAAUUUAAGUUACAAUCAUUGAAAAUAACAGUAAUUAAACACUUGAGAUCCAGUGCUUGGUCUAUCAUAUCAAUGCCGUUUGUCAUUUACAGUGAUUCUCAGACAGAUGCCUAGUGUCAUGUACAACUUAAACUUAUAGUGAAGUACCAAUUAUUGGGAAACUAUAUUUUGAGUUAGUACAUGCCUAGAAGACCAGGGUCCCAGUGGAAAAUACACAAAAAAAAAGUCAGUACCUUGAUGUUGGACCGCCUAAAUGGCCAGUACAUGCAGUGGGAAGACUUUAAAGUGUGUUAGUACACGCCUGUGUCUUUUGCUAUACUCUGUGAAUCACUGUUAAUGACAAACUGAAUUGAUUACAUAGACCCAGCAAAAUUACAAAGCCAAAUGUUACCAAAAUACAGUAAAACUGCAACAUUAAUCAUUUAUAGUACUUGAUUAGGGAUAAUGUUAGACUUUUUAGUUAUGUUAAAGUUGAAAUAUAUUAUUUUCAAGAUUAAAGAAAUGAUUCAAAAUUAAAUAAAAAUCUUCUUUGUUUUGAUUUUAUACUUUUUUGUAAAUUUACUUAUUUUAUUAAAAAAAAUUACAAUAAACUAGGUAGGGGGGAUUUAAAAGUUUUAAUCAAGAACUAAGUUUAUCUCAACAUACCAUUUUUGUCUUUUCUUAUUUGAUGAUAGACAAUUUCCACUACUACUGUAUUUCACUCACUCUUUUUUAUUAUCCCACCUAAUCAUUUACUUGUGAUGUUAUUACAGGAAACUUUCGAGUCAGUGAGUUACUAUGGCUGAACGUUGGCUGAACAUCGUAGUUCUACUGAUAGAGAUUACUAAAUAGAUAAGUAUUACAAUCAUGUGAUGAAAAUUUUUAUAUUGAGUAGAUAUUAUUAGAAAUUUAUUGUUUUAAUCACGGAAUAUAUAUAGCCUACUGUCUGAUAUAGAUUAAUCCUUGAACUAAAAUAUAAAAUUAUAGUUGAGAUUGUUCAGGGUCAGGUGUUAACUACAGUAAACUUAUUUCAUGCCACUGUCAUUAUCACGAUUACAUGUCUUCUCUAUAUUUUGUUAUCAUCGGAGACAUUUAAAAGAAAAAAUAAACAAUAAAUAAACAAAUCAUAGCUACACAAAACAACAACAAAUGCACAAAUUUAAGUUACAAUCAUUGAAAAUAACAGUAAUUAAACACUUGAGAUCCAGUGCUUGGUCUAUCAUAUCAAUGCCGUUUGUCAUUUACAGUGAUUCUCAGACAGAUGCCUAGUGUCAUGUACAACUUAAACUUAUAGUGAAGUACCAAUUAUUGGGAAACUAUAUUUUGAGUUAGUACAUGCCUAGAAGACCAGGGUCCCAGUGGAAAAUACACAAAAAAAAAGUCAGUACCUUGAUGUUGGACCGCCUAAAUGGCCAGUACAUGCAGUGGGAAGACUUUAAAGUGUGUUAGUACACGCCUGUGUCUUUUGCUAUACUCUGUGAAUCACUGUUAAUGACAAACUGAAUUGAUUACAUAGACCCAGCAAAAUUACAAAGCCAAAUGUUACCAAAAUACAGUAAAACUGCAACAUUAAUCAUUUAUAGUACUUGAUUAGGGAUAAUGUUAGACUUUUUAGUUAUGUUAAAGUUGAAAUAUAUUAUUUUCAAGAUUAAAGAAAUGAUUCAAAAUUAAAUAAAAAUCUUCUUUGUUUUGAUUUUAUACUUUUUUGUAAAUUUACUUAUUUUAUUAAAAAAAAUUACAAUAAACUAGGUAGGGGGGAUUUAAAAGUUUUAAUCAAGAACUAAGUUUAUCUCAACAUACCAUUUUUGUCUUUUCUUAUUUGAUGAUAGACAAUUUCCACUACUACUGUAUUUCACUCACUCUUUUUUAUUAUCCCACCUAAUCAUUUACUUGUGAUGUUAUUACAGGAAACUUUCGAGUCAGUGAGUUACUAUGGCUGAACGUUGGCUGAACAUCGUAGUUCUACUGAUAGAGAUUACUAAAUAGAUAAGUAUUACAAUCAUGUGAUGAAAAUUUUUAUAUUGAGUAGAUAUUAUUAGAAAUUUAUUGUUUUAAUCACGGAAUAUAUAUAGCCUACUGUCUGAUAUAGAUUAAUCCUUGAACUAAAAUAUAAAAUUAUAGUUGAGAUUGUUCAGGGUCAGGUGUUAACUACAGUAAACUUAUUUCAUGCCACUGUCAUUAUCACGAUUACAUGUCUUCUCUAUAUUUUGUUAUCAUCGGAGACAUUUAAAAGAAAAAAUAAACAAUAAAUAAACAAAUCAUAGCUACACAAAACAACAACAAAUGCACAAAUUUAAGUUACAAUCAUUGAAAAUAACAGUAAUUAAACACUUGAGAUCCAGUGCUUGGUCUAUCAUAUCAAUGCCGUUUGUCAUUUACAGUGAUUCUCAGACAGAUGCCUAGUGUCAUGUACAACUUAAACUUAUAGUGAAGUACCAAUUAUUGGGAAACUAUAUUUUGAGUUAGUACAUGCCUAGAAGACCAGGGUCCCAGUGGAAAAUACACAAAAAAAAAGUCAGUACCUUGAUGUUGGACCGCCUAAAUGGCCAGUACAUGCAGUGGGAAGACUUUAAAGUGUGUUAGUACACGCCUGUGUCUUUUGCUAUACUCUGUGAAUCACUGUUAAUGACAAACUGAAUUGAUUACAUAGACCCAGCAAAAUUACAUAUUUAUUUUCUGUAUUAGGCCUACUUAAAGAUAUUACUAUUAUGUUUUCAUUGUCCAUUACACUGCAAACUGAGUUUUUAACUCAUCAACCAAAUAAUAUUAAAUGUUAAAUGCAAUAAUUUUAAUGUCAAUGACUACAUUCUUUAUAUAGGAGUUCAUUAAGUUGUAUACAAUUAAACCUUGAAAAUAAUGAUUUAUCUUUACCUUGUGUGUUUAUAGAUCUGGGUGCAAUUUCUAUACAUUUCUUCAUUGAAUAUGGAGAACACUUCAAUUCUUACCUAGGCAGCAUGAUGUACAGAGUCUGUGAUAGACAUCUACAACCUGUCAACUCACCAGAUUCAUCUGUUCAGUACCAGCCUGCUGUUAUAUCUGGGUUUAGAGUCUCCAGACACAUGGGAGUAAAUGUGAAGAUUAAUGUAUUUACAAAAAUUAGUAUAAUCUAGUAAUUGUAUAACUUUACCCUAGUGUUUAUACUUAUUUGAAAUAAAUUUUAUAUUUUUUGUGUU
RNA transcript from Macrosteles quadrilineatus (aster leafhopper), 4420 nucleotides. RefSeq lists it as uncharacterized. The transcript is spliced from 9 exons. Lineage: Eukaryota; Metazoa; Arthropoda; Insecta; Hemiptera; Cicadellidae. The record is from RefSeq and is a predicted model, not a curated record.